GACGAACCGUGCGAACGUUGUUCGGAUUCACUGGGCUUAAAGGGCGCGUAGGCGGGCGAUCAAGUCCGGGGUGAAAUCUUUCGGCUCAACCGGAAAAGUGCCUUGGAUACUGGUCGCCUCGAGGGAGGUAGGGGCAUGCGGAACUUCCGGUGGAGCGGUGAAAUGCGUAGAUAUCGGAAGGAACGCCGGUGGCGAAAGCGGCGUGCUGGACCUCUGCUGACGCUGAGGCGCGAAAGCCAGGGGAGCGAACGGG
Molecule: ribosomal RNA, 253 nt
Filed under: uncultured bacterium
Lineage: Bacteria
Description: partial 16S ribosomal RNA
Rfam family: Bacterial small subunit ribosomal RNA
Source: RNAcentral